GGCUGGGCGCACUGGCAGCGGGAGCUGCUGUGGGAAACGAGAACGCCCCUGCUGUUUGAGCUCCAAACGUGGGGGCUGGUUGGGAGCCAAAGGCAGGUGCGCUGGGUGCUGCGCCAAAGGUUUGUGGUUUUGCAGCGGGUGCGCCAAAGGCGCUUCCAAACGCGGGUGGCGCUGCCGGGGCUGCUGCUGGGGUAGUCCCGAAGCUGAAGCCCGUCGUUGUUGUGCUGGGGGCGCCGAAUGCAGGUGCGGAGGACGCAGCGCCGAACGCCGGCGCGCUGGUUGCUGGAGCGGCAGCGGCAUUUGCCGCAGAGAAGCCAAACGGGCUUGCUGGCGGCGCUGUGGUUGCAGCGCCGAACUACGGAUUUAGAAGUCAAAUCACGCAUUUGAAAAAACAUUGGUUAAAUUUGGUGCAGAAUCGACCUUAUACAAACGGAUAUAUAAGUAUGCUACACAUGUAGGCGCAUCAAGCAACAAACCUGAAAGGGUGAUGCCGCCAUGGUUGCCGAUCGACUCUCCUCACGUUACAAGCAAAGGUAGCCCGUAUCAAUCAGAUUAAGCAAGCAUAUAUACAAUACAUAAACAUAAGGCAAAAUCCUUUUCGCGAAGCGACAUCGCCUGCGCCGCAAAGCUGUUUGGAAGUUCAAAUCCUACGAGCAGAGCAGCAGAUAACGACCACAGCAAUUAAGCCCACAGGUGUUUAAGCCUGACAACUCAGUCCUUGGGGAAGGUUUCACUCAAACUUUCUACCUAACUUGUUUCGGAGCCCAUUAUCAACGGUUAUUAGUACAACAGCUUUACUGCCCAGUCUGAGCUAGGACUCUGCAGCCAUGCUGCCGAAAUGUGGAAAAGCUGUGCACAUUAAUCAUCAUCGCACCGAAGUACUUAACAGAGUAUCAUGGGAUAAUGAGGAAUCGCCUCAUUUUG
This 924-nucleotide long non-coding RNA is filed under the name Volvox carteri. RNAcentral describes it as "long non-coding RNA (VCAR_LNC002595)". Lineage: Eukaryota; Viridiplantae; Chlorophyta; Chlorophyceae; Chlamydomonadales; Volvocaceae. The record is from RNAcentral.